UACGUAGGGUGCAAGCGUUGUCCGGAAUUAUUGGGCGUAAAGAGCUCGUAGGCGGUCUGUCACGUCGGCUGUGAAAUCCCGAGGCUCAACCUCGGGUCUGCAGUCGAUACGGGCAAACUAGAGUAUUGCAGGGGAGACUGGAAUUCCUGGUGUAGCGGUGAAAUGCGCAGAUAUCAGGAGGAACACCGGUGGCGAAGGCGGGUCUCUGGGCCGUAACUGACGCUGAGGAGCGAAAGCAUGGGGAGCGAACAGG
This 253-nucleotide ribosomal RNA is filed under the name uncultured bacterium. RNAcentral's name for it is "partial 16S ribosomal RNA". It matches the Rfam family "Bacterial small subunit ribosomal RNA", at positions 524 to 776 of the family's 1533-position model. The record is from RNAcentral.